UAAUUUUUGGAAACCUCUUUGGGCAUCAAACCCCACACUGCAAGUUGUUAGCCUAAAGGGGUACACAUAAUGUAAUUUUGAUGAUAACAAACAUGUGUCUUAAGUAAAAAUAAUAAAUAUUGUAUUUCACAUUUUCAUUAGUUUUUUAAGGAUAAUAUUUAUGCAAGUGAAUCAAGUGAAACCAAGAUUGAAGACACUCAACGGACAACGGCGACAUCAAGAAUAUAGUUUAGAGCUCAACAAACAAAUUAGUGCGAUAAAUUCUUGUAAAGCCAGUAUGAUUUAAUUGAUGCAUGAUUUAGCAUUUGAAAAGCUCAAGAGAUUAAUUUAAUUAAAUACUUUUCAUAAACUAAAAGGUUUUAUUUUUAUAAAGUAAAGUAUUUUGUGGAUUUAAGUAAUUUGGACUUAAAUGCUAAGAUUUGAAAUCUUUGAUUUUAAUAAGUAUAAAUUUCGGAGUUGGACGUUUUUACAAACAUUGGAAAUGUUUUGGGCCAUACUAUAAUUUAUGAAUAUUUUGGACUAAAGUGAAAGGUUUUGAGAACUUUGAAAAAUAUGAGUAUUAUGUUGAAAAGGACCUUUGUGCUAAAUAAUAAAAUCUUUGGGGCCAUAUCAUAAUUUUAGAAAGUUUAGGAAAGACAAUUAUUCUUAGGAAGUUCUGAAAUUGGACAUAUUUACAAAGUUUUAUGACUUUUUGGGCCAUAAUAUAAUGAUAUAAAGUUUUGGGCCAAAGUGUAAUUUCAGUGAAUAAUAUUACUGUAGCAAAAUUCAAAAAUAACGGUAAUAUCACUGUUCCUGAGCGGCUAGCCGGAUAAUCAAGUGGCUAACCGCUUGGGCGCGGGAAUUUGCCUAGAACGGCUAGUUUUCGGGCUUUCAUUAUAAAAACUCAACUCAAACUUCAUUUUAAGCACUAAUACAAGAAAAACCAAGAUCAUAUAACAUAUAUUGAGCUUCCAUUUCGUAAAUCAUCAUUUGUUGAAUCAUCAUUGAGCUAUAAUUUGUUUAUUCACUCUUAAAGAGAGUUCCAUUGUUGUGAUUUUCUUUUCUCAUCAAAUUGUGAGUGUACAAGUGUGGGAAACACUUGAGGUGAAGAGAGUAGGGAUAUAAUCUCUUGUUGUAAAGGUCCAUUGACACCUUGGAAGUCAAUUGUAAACAUUUGAAGCCUUGGGAGGCUUGGAUAAUGAAAUCCUCAAGCCGGGUGAGCUUGGAGGCGUGGACGUAGGCGGGGAUAGCCGAACCACGUAAAAAUCCUUGUGUUUGUUUUCUCUUCCCUUACUCUUUUAAUAUUGUGCUUGAUUGAAUUUAUUGUUUUCAUUUGAUUAAGGCAAUAGAUUAAAUUGUUGUGCGAAUUGUAUUGCAUAAAUUUUAAAAUCUCAAUUCACCCCUCCUCUUGGGUUGCAUAACUUACAUUUCACAAGUUCCCCCACCUACCACCAGACGGUACUCAGCACCACGCCAAGCCACAGUCACAGUCACGUCUACUGCACCAAUUGCUACCGCAGCAGAAGCCGAAAAAUAAACAAGUCCAUACAAAUCAAAUGACAAAUCAACUGAAAAAUCAAAUGGAAAUACAAAUCUAGGAUUUCAGCAAAUUAAAUACAAAUCCAUGGCCUAAACAAACCAAAUACAAAUUAGCUUGGUUCGAACCAUGUAGGAACAGCCGCGACGCGAAGGUGGGCAAGACGAGCUGCUGAUGAUGAUGAUGAACAGCCGCAAAGGUGGGCAAGUGAGUGUGACGACGACGAUGUUUUGAUUUGAUUUGAUGAAGAUGAGCUGAAGAGAGAGAGGAAAUGUGUUGAUGCAGCUGUGAAAGUGUAAAUGAA
Molecule: long non-coding RNA, 1820 nt
Filed under: Citrus sinensis (sweet orange)
Lineage: Eukaryota; Viridiplantae; Streptophyta; Magnoliopsida; Sapindales; Rutaceae
Description: long non-coding RNA (CSIN_LNC000468)
Source: RNAcentral